Molecule: ribosomal RNA, 252 nt
Filed under: uncultured bacterium
Lineage: Bacteria
Description: partial 16S ribosomal RNA
Rfam family: Bacterial small subunit ribosomal RNA
Source: RNAcentral
UACGUAUGGGGCAAGCGUUAUCCGGAUUUACUGGGUGUAAAGGGUGCGCAGGCGGCGUGUCAAGUCAGCGGUAAAAUGUCGGGGCUCAACCCCGGCCGGCCGUUGAAACUGGCGUGCUCGAGUUGGAGAGAAGUAUGCGGAAUUCGUGGUGUAGCGGUGAAAUGCAUAGAUAUCACGAAGAACCCCGAUUGCGAAGGCAGCAUACCGGCUCCACACUGACGCUGAGGCACGAAAGCGUGGGUAUCGAACAGG